GUGAGGUCUCCGGAUUGGCUUUGGGGAGCCGGCGACGGCACCCUAUCGCUGAGAAGCUGAUCAAACUUGGUCAUUUAGAGGAAGUAAAAGUCGUAACAAGGUUUCCGUAGGUGAACCUGCGGAAGGAUCAUUAUUGAAAUUAGUGGGGAGGGUUGUAGCUGGCCUUCCGGGGCAUGUGCACACCCAAGCCUUUAAUCCACAUACACCUGUGAACUUAGUGUGAGGGUCCGCAAAAAAGGCCCUCAUGUCUUAUCAUCAACCCCAUUGUAUGUCUCACAGAAUGCAAUAUAUAUCUUCGCCCUAAAAAGCGUUGGUAAACCUAUACAACUUUCAACAACGGAUCUCUUGGCUCUCGCAUCGAUGAAGAACGCAGCGAAAUGCGAUAAGUAAUGUGAAUUGCAGAUUUUCAGUGAAUCAUCGAAUCUUUGAACGCACCUUGCGCCCCUUGGUAUUCCGAGGGGCAUGCCUGUUUGAGUGUCAUUAAAUCCUCAACUCCGAUCGAUUUGUUUCGACCCCGGGGCUUGGACUUGGAGUGUGCUGGCGUCUGGUCGGCUCCUCUCAAAUGCAUCAGCGGAAUUGAACCUUUGGGGUUUCCGGACAUCAGUGUGAUAAUCAAUGUUGUGCUGUUGUCUGACCUCAAAAGUCCGCUCACAAUCGUCCCUUCGUGGACAAAGCUCAUCAAAUUUGACCUCAAAUCAGGUAGGACUACCCGCUGAACUUAAGCAUAUCAAUAAGCGGAGGAAAAGAAACUAACAAGGAUUCCCCUAGUAACUGCGAGUGAAGCGGGAAAAGCUCAAAUUUAAAAUCUGGUGGUCUCCGGCCAUCCGAGUUGUAAUCUGGAGAAGCGUUUAUCCGCGUUGGACCGUGUACAAGUCUUCUGGAANGGAGCGU
This 891-nucleotide ribosomal RNA is filed under the name Piloderma olivaceum. RNAcentral's name for it is "eukaryotic LSU rRNA". The stretch from base 326 to 480 matches the Rfam family "5.8S ribosomal RNA". Lineage: Eukaryota; Fungi; Basidiomycota; Agaricomycetes; Atheliales; Atheliaceae. The record is from RNAcentral.